Molecule: ribosomal RNA, 514 nt
Filed under: uncultured Theileria sp.
Lineage: Eukaryota; Apicomplexa; Aconoidasida; Piroplasmida; Theileriidae
Description: SSU rRNA
Rfam family: Eukaryotic small subunit ribosomal RNA
Source: RNAcentral
GUCUGGUGCCAGCAGCCGCGGUAAUUCCAGCUCCAAUAGCGUAUAUUAAAAUUGUUGCAGUUAAAAAGCUCGUAGUUGAAUUUCUGCUACAUUGCCUAUUCUCCUUUACGAGUUUGGGUCUUUUGUGGCUUAUCUGGGUUCGCUUGCGUUCCCGGUGUUUUACUUUGAGAAAAUUAGAGUGCUCAAAGCAGGCUUUUGCCUUGAAUAGUUUAGCAUGGAAUAAUAAAGUAGGACUUUGGUUCUAUUUUGUUGGUUUUAGGUACCAAAGUAAUGGUUAAUAGGAACAGUUGGGGGCAUUCGUAUUUAACUGUCAGAGGUGAAAUUCUUAGAUUUGUUAAAGACGAACUACUGCGAAAGCAUUUGCCAAGGAUGUUUUCAUUAAUCAAGAACGAAAGUUAGGGGAUCGAAGACGAUCAGAUACCGUCGUAGUCCUAACCAUAAACUAUGCCGACUAGAGAUUGGAGGUCGUCAGUUUUUACGACUCCUUCAGCACCUUGAGAGAAAUCAAAGUCUU